This 385-nucleotide ribosomal RNA is filed under the name uncultured bacterium. RNAcentral describes it as "bacterial SSU rRNA". It matches the Rfam family "Bacterial small subunit ribosomal RNA", at positions 1120 to 1504 of the family's 1533-position model. The record is from RNAcentral.
AGCACGUUAAGGUGGGCACUCUAAGGAGACUGCCGGUGACAAACCGGAGGAAGGUGGGGAUGACGUCAAGUCAUCAUGGCCCUUACGGCCUGGGCUACACACGUGCUACAAUGGUCGGUACUGAGGGUUGCCAAGCCGCGAGGUGGAGCUAAUCCCAUAAAACCGAUCGUAGUCCGGAUCGCAGUCUGCAACUCGACUGCGUGAAGUCGGAAUCGCUAGUAAUCGUGAAUCAGAAUGUCACGGUGAAUACGUUCCCGGGCCUUGUACACACCGCCCGUCACACCAUGGGAGUGGGUUGCUCCAGAGGCAGCUAGUCUAACCUUCGGGGGGGCGGUUACCACGGAGUGAUUCAUGACUGGGGUGAAAUCGUAACAAGGUAACCGUA